This 898-nucleotide long non-coding RNA is filed under the name Medicago truncatula (barrel medic). Its description in RNAcentral is "lncRNA gene45417". The record is from RNAcentral. Lineage: Eukaryota; Viridiplantae; Streptophyta; Magnoliopsida; Fabales; Fabaceae.
AUGCAGAAAGAUUACUGGACCAAAAGUAGACAGAAAAAACUAAUAAUUAACGCUUCAUAUUUAUUUAUUAUAAUGUGGCAAAAACAAAAAUACUUCCUGAUAAAAAAAUAGAAAGGCAUCCAAGUCUGCCACGCCAGAUAGUCAACCAUUGGGAGUUAACAAGUUCUGAAAUCACCUGGCUUUCCUUAUGGAUAGGAAGGACAAAUUCAAAACUUUGUUUAAAUUAGAAGAGAUUUAUGUCAUCUCUUAUUUAAACACGUAUGUUCAAAAUUAAAUUCCAACGUAGGAAUUUGGUUAAGUUAAAAGAGAUUUGUGUCGUAUCAUCUUAGCGUUUUCCUUUUAAAACUUGCCAUUUUUAUCUGUGCUAUAUGUUAAUGACUAAAAUUCGUCACAUUUCCUCUCAAAAUUUGAUAACAAUUUAAAUAGUUAACACAAUUUAAAUAUAUGGUUAAUUAUAUCUAAUGAUUAUUUGAUGAAUACAGCAAGAUGAUGUAUAACCAAUUAACCAUAUUAAUUUAACACAGUUAACCAUGAUUUUAAACAUGAGUAUGAUUUUUAGGUGUACAAAUACGUACACACAUAUAUAGUCGGGAUCAUUGACACCAAUAUGGUGGAAAUGUAGUUAUAUACAGUCCGGGUUGUCAAAACCCUCGAUGGGAAGCUUGUUUACCGACAACUAGGAAGAGAGCUAGUGGACCAAAAUGCAUUGUUAAUGGAAAGAGGGUUCAUAAGGGGGGAUUCCAUGUUUAAGGCCCACAGAGUACAAGAGAUCAAAGUUACCUAGAAGCAGAAGGAUUGUAAAAUUUGCAUAUGGUGGUGUUUUAUCUGGUGGUGCUGUUCGAGAAAGAGUCAUUCGAGCUUUCUUGGUUGAAAAGCAAAAGAUAGUCAAGAAUGUUUU